GAACUGAAGAGUUUGAUCAUGGCUCAGAUUGAACGCUGGCGGCAGGCCUAACACAUGCAAGUCGAGCGGAUGAAGGGAGCUUGCUCCUG
This 89-nucleotide ribosomal RNA is filed under the name Pseudomonas aeruginosa. Its description in RNAcentral is "partial 16S ribosomal RNA". It matches the Rfam family "Bacterial small subunit ribosomal RNA", at positions 1 to 88 of the family's 1533-position model. The record is from RNAcentral. Lineage: Bacteria; Pseudomonadati; Pseudomonadota; Gammaproteobacteria; Pseudomonadales; Pseudomonadaceae.